Molecule: ribosomal RNA, 729 nt
Filed under: Parasitodiplogaster pharmaconema
Lineage: Eukaryota; Metazoa; Nematoda; Chromadorea; Rhabditida; Diplogasteridae
Description: eukaryotic LSU rRNA
Rfam family: Eukaryotic large subunit ribosomal RNA
Source: RNAcentral
GAAGAGAGAGUUAAACAGGACGUGAAACCACCAGGGACGAAGCGGAUGAAGCCGACGAAACUCGCGGUAUUCAGGUGUGCGCGGCCGUCUGGCGGUGCUUGCUCGCGGCCGGUGUUGUCGUGGCGGCGUCGUCUAGCGCGGCUGUGUGCUCUGCAUUUGCUGCGGGUGUGCGUUGAGAGGCCUGCUCGCCUCCUCCUAACCGCCGUGUGUUGCCCUUGCUUGCAAGGUGUCUUGCGCGGUGGGGCUGUCGAUGGCGGGUAGGUUGUUGCCUUCAGCGGCUGACGAUUGCGCGGUGCGCGUCGCGGCAUGCGUUGUGCGUGAGCAGUGGCGUGCCACUCGUUUGCGUCCUCAGCGUGCGUUGUGUGCGCGCGUCGCUACAGCUCGCUGUCUCGGCGUUAAAGUUGGUCACUCAUCCGACCCGUCUUGAAACACGGACCAAGAAGUCUAGCAUGUGCGCGAGUCAUUGGGCGUAAAAACCUAAAGGCGAAAUGAAAGUAAAGGCCGCCUUGGUGCGGCUGAUAUGGGAGUCGUGAGCGUGCGCGCUCGCGAUGCACCAUAGCCCCAUCCCCUGAGCUUGCUCUGGGGUGGAGGAAGAGCGUACAUGCUGGGACCCGAAAGAUGGUGAACUAUGCGUGAGCAGGAUGAAGUCAGAGGAAACUCUGAUGGAAGUCCGAAGCGGUUCUGACGUGCAAAUCGAUCGUCUGACUUGGGUAUAGGGGCGAAAGACUA